GAUGAAGAACGUAGCGAAAUGCGAUAAGUAAUGUGAAUUGCAGAAUUCAGUGAAUCAUCGAAUCUUUGAACGCACAUUGCGCCCGCCAGCAUUCUGGCGGGCAUGCCUGUUCGAGCGUCAUUUCAACCCUCGAGCCCCCCCGGGGGCCUCGGUGUUGGGGGACGGCACACCAGCCGCCCCCGAAAUGCAGUGGCGACCCCGCCGCAGCCUCCCCUGCGUAGUAGCACACACCUCGCACCGGAGCGCGGAGGCGGUCACGCCGUAAAACGCCCAACUUUCUUAGAGUUGACCUCGGAUCAGGUAGGAAUACCCGCUGAGCUUAAGCAUAUCAAUAAGCGGAGGA
This 343-nucleotide unclassified non-coding RNA is filed under the name soil metagenome. RNAcentral describes it as "partial contains 5.8S ribosomal RNA, internal transcribed spacer 2, and large subunit ribosomal RNA". The stretch from base 1 to 120 matches the Rfam family "5.8S ribosomal RNA", at positions 35 to 154 of the family's 154-position model. The record is from RNAcentral.